UUAUGUAAUUGAUAAAAGCUCCACCAGUCAUUUUCUGCUGUUCAUAUGCAGCCCUCAUGGUGUCAUCUGGUCUUAAUAGGGAGUGUUUUAAUCCUGAGUCACCAUCAUCUCCCAGGCUGGUGGUCUGUCCAAGCAAGGUGACUGCGCUGUUUUCAGUCCGCGCUGACAGGAAAGACCCAGGGCUCCGAGAGACUCGUGCUUGUCAGCCGAUCGCGGACACGUGCCCGUCUCACCGUCCCGUGGUCCCACCCUCACGCGGCCUUGUUUUUCUGUUCCACGCAGGCUGGCAGACUCUUCUGGUGGUAAUGCACAGCAAUCAUGAACUCUGACUGUUCUGACAGCUGUGUUUCACAUAUUUCAACAAAGAGGCAGUCAAGUCUGGAACUUGAAAGAUCACAAAAUGGCUUUAUGAGUUAAAUGGAUACAUGAAGUGCUAUGUGGAUAUUUGCAAACGAUCUGCUGCGCCAGAGGAGUAAGGGCUCGGAAGACCAGACCCAUUCCUGCUCGGAGCUAAGAAUCUGUUAUCUGCUCAAAAUGGCUUCUCACCCUUGGACACUGCAAUGUCACAUCACGGGAAGCAGGGUACCAUGUUCACUCAGAGUCGCUCCCGGUGCUCUGGACGGCUCCUGCAGUCCGAAGUCAUUUGCUAAUUGGCAUCUCCAAAUUGUUGGUUGCAUCUGAGUAUGUGCAUGUGGCGACACACAACGAGUUCUUUGGUUUAACAUUAGUAGAGAUGAGAGAUUAAAGCCACCAGGAUCAGACCUGGUCCAGAUGAAUCAGAUCCCCCAUGCAGAUGAAGCCACGUACCAGUGACCGCAUCCCGCUAGAGAGUCUCAGUAGCGAUCCUGGACAAACAUCUUGAAAAAGCAGCCUGUGAUAUUUUUUUUUUCAAAGCCCCCGGUCACCUGCAUGUAAACAGGACCAGAAACCUCAGGCAAACCAGCAGGAGGAAACCUGUUUAAAAUGGGGGCAACAUGCAUUUCACACACAGGCAGAGCAGCUGCAGGACUGGACCCCCCACCCCUGGAUGUGUGAGGUGAAUCAGCUCCCCCACGUGCAUCGUCAUGUCCUGUAUGCACGUGUAUCCCUUUCUCAGCUGGGAAAACCGGCCCGAGUCCUUUUGGCGUAACUCCCGCGACGAGCAUGCGGCGUGACGAUCGUGAGCAGGGUCUGCUGCGCUAACGCAGCGUCUGCGGUGAAAUGUGACUGAUCACCGGACCCCUGCUGCAGAUGGAGCUUGCCGCCCCCCUCCCGGCUGCUCUGCUGAGAGGGA
Molecule: non-coding RNA, 1273 nt
Organism: Paramormyrops kingsleyae
Lineage: Eukaryota; Metazoa; Chordata; Actinopteri; Osteoglossiformes; Mormyridae
Source: RefSeq, a predicted model, not a curated record